Molecule: non-coding RNA, 30 nt
Filed under: Rattus norvegicus (Norway rat)
Lineage: Eukaryota; Metazoa; Chordata; Mammalia; Rodentia; Muridae
Source: RNAcentral
UAUGAGGUCAUGAGCAUCCUGUUGCCCCAU